Molecule: transfer RNA, 76 nt
Filed under: bacterium
Lineage: Bacteria
Description: tRNA-Gly
Rfam family: tRNA
About the family: Transfer RNA (tRNA) molecules are approximately 80 nucleotides in length. Their secondary structure includes four short double-helical elements and three loops (D, anti-codon, and T loops).
Source: RNAcentral
GCGGGUGUCGCCAAGUGGUAAGGCAGUAGCUUCCCAAGCUACCAUUCCGUGGGUUCGAAUCCCAUCACCCGCUCAA